This 250-nucleotide ribosomal RNA is filed under the name uncultured bacterium. Its description in RNAcentral is "partial 16S ribosomal RNA". It matches the Rfam family "Bacterial small subunit ribosomal RNA", at positions 524 to 773 of the family's 1533-position model. The record is from RNAcentral.
UACGUAGGUGGCAAGCGUUAUCCGGAUUUACUGGGCGUAAAGGGAGCGUAGGCGGAUAAUUAAGUGGGAUGUGAAAUACCCGGGCUCAACCUGGGUGCUGCAUUCCAAACUGGAUGUCUAGAGUGCAGGAGAGGAGAGUGGAAUUCCUAGUGUAGCGGUGAAAUGCGUAGAGAUUAGGAAGAACACCAGUGGCGAAGGCGACUCUCUGGACUGUAACUGACGCUGAGGCAUGAAAGCGUGGGGAGCAAAC